CCAGCCCAGGAUCCAGAACGAGACUCGUCAUACAGCCUGGCAGAUCCGCUCGAGCGUACGCACGGGGGAGAAUCAGAGGCCGUUACGCAUGGAGCAGGCGCCUGAUAUCCUCGUACGCCCAUAUCUGUAUGGCAGAGACGCGUGGCCCAAUCAUAGGAGAGCCGUAGUACGUCAUCAGCAAGCAGACAGAAAGGAUAAAAGGGAUACCCCUCUAGAGAGAUAGACCAAGCUUUAUCCUUCAAUACCAAAACCCUUGU
RNAcentral lists this long non-coding RNA (257 nucleotides) under Manihot esculenta (cassava). RNAcentral describes it as "long non-coding RNA (MESC_LNC012859)". The record is from RNAcentral. Lineage: Eukaryota; Viridiplantae; Streptophyta; Magnoliopsida; Malpighiales; Euphorbiaceae.